UACGUAGGUGGCAAGCGUUGUCCGGAAUUAUUGGGCGUAAAGCGCGCGCAGGUGGUUUCUUAAGUCUGAUGUGAAAGCCCACGGCUCAACCGUGGAGGGUCAUUGGAAACUGGGGAACUUGAGUGCAGGAGAGAAGAGUGGAAUUCCACGUGUAGCGGUGAAAUGCGUAGAGAUGUGGAGGAACACCAGUGGCGAAGUCGACUCUUUGGUCUGUAACUGACGCUGAGGCGCGAAAGCGUGGGGAGCAAACAGG
Molecule: ribosomal RNA, 253 nt
Filed under: uncultured bacterium
Lineage: Bacteria
Description: partial 16S ribosomal RNA
Rfam family: Bacterial small subunit ribosomal RNA
Source: RNAcentral